GUAAUACAUCUCUUAAGCCAGAACAAUUGAAAGGAGAUUUCAGUAGCUUAAAUCCUGUAAAUUGUAGCUGAAUAAAAUACAGUAUGAAGCUGAAGUGCCUCAUCAGACAAGGACUGAAUAGCAAAAGCAGAGCAAAAGCCUGGAUUUGGGGAGAGGCAGCUGGACUGAGUGAGGAGUGAAAUGAGAAAAGUGCUCGGAUCAUGUUUUAUGGGAUGCGUAGCCUACACAGUAAGUCAAGAAUUAUUGUCACCUUUAGCUGUCCAGAAGAAAAAGAAAAAAAGCCGUUAUCAGAGGUAAUUUCCAAGGACAUUACAAUUAAGAGGAGGUGAGUGUCAGUUUGUUUAAAUAUGUUUCAAUAUAUGUUACUUUUUUUAACAUUAACUACUUCUC
This 390-nucleotide long non-coding RNA is filed under the name Camarhynchus parvulus. RNAcentral describes it as "lncRNA (ENSCPVG00000001039.2)". Lineage: Eukaryota; Metazoa; Chordata; Aves; Passeriformes; Thraupidae. The record is from RNAcentral.